This 86-nucleotide transfer RNA is filed under the name Candidatus Collierbacteria bacterium RIFOXYA2_FULL_46_20. RNAcentral's name for it is "tRNA-Tyr". It matches the Rfam family "tRNA". From Rfam's summary of the family: Transfer RNA (tRNA) molecules are approximately 80 nucleotides in length. The record is from RNAcentral. RNAcentral also lists the same sequence under 4 other names. Lineage: Bacteria; Candidatus Collieribacteriota.
GCCGAGAUGGUAGAGUGGUCAAAUACUCGGGUCUGUAAAACCCGCGGCGCAAGCCUACGCAGGUUCGAACCCUGCUCUCGGCACUA